This 623-nucleotide ribosomal RNA is filed under the name uncultured Geobacteraceae bacterium. RNAcentral's name for it is "partial 16S ribosomal RNA". The stretch from base 1 to 549 matches the Rfam family "Bacterial small subunit ribosomal RNA", at positions 9 to 546 of the family's 1533-position model. The record is from RNAcentral. Lineage: Bacteria; Pseudomonadati; Thermodesulfobacteriota; Desulfuromonadia; Geobacterales; Geobacteraceae.
GAGUUUGAUCCUGGCUCAGAACGAACGCUGGCGGCGUGCUUAACACAUGCAAGUCGAACGUGAUCCAGAGCUUGCUCUGGUGAAAGUGGCGCACGGGUGAGUAACGCGUGGAUAACCUGCCCUGGUAUCUGGGAUAACAUCUCGAAAGGGGUGCUAAUACCGGAUAAGCCUACGGGCUCUUCGGAGUCUGCAGGAAAAGGAGGCCUCUAUUUAUAAGCUUCCGUAUCAUGAUGGGUCCGCGUACCAUUAGCUAGUUGGUGGGGUAAUGGCCUACCAAGGCGACGAUGGUUAGCUGGUCUGAGAGGAUGAUCAGCCACMCUGGAACUGAGACACGGUCCAGACUCCUACGGGAGGCAGCAGAGGGGAAUUUUGCGCAAUGGGGGAAACCCUGACGCAGCAACGCCGCGUGAGUGAUGAAGGCUUUCGGGUCGUAAAGCUCUGUCAGAGGGGAAGAAAUGAAACGUGCUAAUAUCACGUAUUCUUGACGGUACCCUCAAAGGAAGCACCGGCUAACUCCGUGCCAGCAGCCGCGGUAAUACAAGGGUCCAAKRSAAAMAAAUWWWYCCCCCCUUWARGGGGGCCCCUUGGGGAAAACWGGWUCGGAGAAAACAGCUWKWWACAAA